RNAcentral lists this ribosomal RNA (253 nucleotides) under uncultured bacterium. RNAcentral's name for it is "partial 16S ribosomal RNA". It matches the Rfam family "Bacterial small subunit ribosomal RNA", at positions 524 to 776 of the family's 1533-position model. The record is from RNAcentral.
UACGGGGGGGGCAAGCGUUGUUCGGAAUUACUGGGCGUAAAGGGCUUGUAGGUGGCCAACUAAGUCAGACGUGAAAUCCCUCAGCUUAACUGGGGAACUGCGUCUGAUACUGGAUGGCUUGAGUUUGGGAGAGGGACGCGGAAUUCCAGGUGUAGCGGUGAAAUGCGUAGAUAUCUGGAGGAACACCGGUGGCGAAGGCGGCGUCCUGGACCAAUACUGACACUGAAAAGCGAAAGCCAGGGGAGCAAACGGG